AAUUUGUUUCUUCCUAUCCUCCUAUUCUCCUAUCUUCCGUAUUCUCUCUCAUUUUUUUUCUGUCUAUCUUGUUCAUCCUAGCACAAAAUCACCCCAUAAAAAAAAUCUUUCACAACCACCGUCACCAUAACCUCCGACGCCGCCAUCUCUAUCUCCUCGUUCUGUACCUCCAUCCGUCGCUGCCACCAUCAUCUUCAUCUCCACCUCCUCGUUCUCUACCUCCGCCAAUAAAUUCUGUCUAAACCACUCCUUUUAUCUAUCCUCCUAUAAAAGCUUCUUCUUUUCCAGAUGCAUAUUCAUGGUCUUAGUUAACACCAACCGUAUCUCAGGGACAGGGAAGAGGAAGUGGAAUUGAUAAUGGGGCUGGUGGUUGUUCUUGUUCUCGUAGUGUCACAACAUUGAUGGAAGAAGCCAGAUAUGAAGAAGCUGUGCU
Molecule: long non-coding RNA, 433 nt
Organism: Brassica oleracea var. oleracea
Lineage: Eukaryota; Viridiplantae; Streptophyta; Magnoliopsida; Brassicales; Brassicaceae
Exons: 3
Source: RefSeq, a predicted model, not a curated record